GGUCAAGUGAAGAAGCGCAUACGGUGGAUGCCUUGGCAGUCAGAGGCGAUGAAAGACGUGGUAGCCUGCGAAAAGCUUCGGGGAGUCGGCAAACAGACUUUGAUCCGGAGAUGUCUGAAUGGGGGAACCCAGCCAUCAUAAGAUGGUUAUCUUGUACUGAAUACAUAGGUGCAAGAGGCGAACCAGGGGAACUGAAACAUCUAAGUACCCUGAGGAAAAGAAAUCAACCGAGAUUCCCUUAGUAGUGGCGAGCGAACGGGGACUAGCCCUUAAGUGGCUUUGAGAUUAGCGGAACGCUCUGGAAAGUGCGGCCAUAGUGGGUGAUAGCCCUGUACGCGAAAAUCUCUUAGUCAUGAAAUCGAGUAGGACGGAGCACGAGAAACUUUGUCUGAAUAUGGGGGGACCAUCCUCCAAGGCUAAAUACUACUGACUGACCGAUAGUGAACUAGUACCGUGAGGGAAAGGCGAAAAGAACCCCGGAGAGGGGAGUGAAAUAGAUCCUGAAACCGUAUGCGUACAAGCAGUGGGAGCCCACUUUGUUGGGUGACUGCGUACCUUUUGUAUAAUGGGUCAGCGACUUAUUUUCAGUGGCGAGCUUAACCGAAUAGGGGAGGCGUAGCGAAAGCGAGUCUUAAUAGGGCGUCUAGUCGCUGGGAAUAGACCCGAAACCGGGCGAUCUAUCCAUGGGCAGGUUGAAGGUUGGGUAACACUAACUGGAGGACCGAACCGACUACCGUUGAAAAGUUAGCGGAUGACCUGUGGAUCGGAGUGAAAGGCUAAUCAAGCUCGGAGAUAGCUGGUUCUCCUCGAAAGCUAUUUAGGUAGCGCCUCAUGUAUCACUGUAGGGGGUAGAGCACUGUUUCGGCUAGGGGGUCAUCCCGACUUACCAAACCGAUGCAAACUCCGAAUACCUACAAGUGCCGAGCAUGGGAGACACACGGCGGGUGCUAACGUCCGUCGUGAAAAGGGAAACAACCCAGACCGUCAGCUAAGGUCCCAAAGUUAUGGUUAAGUGGGAAACGAUGUGGGAAGGCUUAGACAGCUAGGAGGUUGGCUUAGAAGCAGCCACCCUUUAAAGAAAGCGUAAUAGCUCACUAGUCGAGUCGGCCUGCGCGGAAGAUGUAACGGGGCUCAAACCAUACACCGAAGCUACGGGUAUCACGUAAGUGAUGCGGUAGAGGAGCGUUCUGUAAGCCUGUGAAGGUGAGUUGAGAAGCUUGCUGGAGGUAUCAGAAGUGCGAAUGCUGACAUGAGUAACGAUAAUGGGUGUGAAAAACACCCACGCCGAAAGACCAAGGUUUCCUGCGCAACGUUAAUCGACGCAGGGUUAGUCGGUCCCUAAGGCGAGGCUGAAAAGCGUAGUCGAUGGAAAACAGGUUAAUAUUCCUGUACUUCUGGUUAUUGCGAUGGAGGGACGGAGAAGGCUAGGCCAGCUUGGCGUUGGUUGUCCAAGUUUAAGGUGGUAGGCUGGAAUCUUAGGUAAAUCCGGGAUUCUAAGGCCGAGAGCUGAUGACGAGUUA
RNAcentral lists this ribosomal RNA (1520 nucleotides) under Pseudomonas fluorescens. Its description in RNAcentral is "partial 23S ribosomal RNA". It matches the Rfam family "Bacterial large subunit ribosomal RNA", at positions 1 to 1576 of the family's 2925-position model. RNAcentral also lists the same sequence under 1 other name. Lineage: Bacteria; Pseudomonadati; Pseudomonadota; Gammaproteobacteria; Pseudomonadales; Pseudomonadaceae. The record is from RNAcentral.